RNAcentral lists this ribosomal RNA (237 nucleotides) under Leptospira borgpetersenii. RNAcentral's name for it is "partial 16S ribosomal RNA". It matches the Rfam family "Bacterial small subunit ribosomal RNA", at positions 58 to 297 of the family's 1533-position model. The record is from RNAcentral. Lineage: Bacteria; Pseudomonadati; Spirochaetota; Leptospiria; Leptospirales; Leptospiraceae.
UUAUUUUCCAAGUCAAGCGGAGUAGGCAAUACUCAGCGGCGAACGGGUGAGUAACACGUGGGUAAUCUUCCUCCGAGUCUGGGAUAACUUUCCGAAAGGGGAGCUAAUACUGGAUAGUCCCGAGAGAUCAUAGGAUUUUUCGGGUAAAGAUUUAUUGCUCGGAGAUGAGCUCGCGCCCGAUUAGCUAGUUGGUGAGGUAAUGGCUCACCAAGGCGACGAUCGGUAGCCGGCCUGAGA